GAUGAACGCUGGCGGCGUGCCUAAUACAUGCAAGUCGAGCGAACAGACGAGGAGCUUGCUCCUCUGACGUUAGCGGCGGACGGGUGAGUAACACGUGGAUAACCUACCUAUAAGACUGGGAUAACUUCGGGAAACCGGAGCUAAUACCGGAUAACGUGUUGAACCGCAUGGUUCAACAGUGAAAGACGGUCUUGCUGUCACUUAUAGAUGGAUCCGCGCCGCAUUAGCUAGUUGGUAAGGUAACGGCUUACCAAGGCAACGAUGCGUAGCCGACCUGAGAGGGUGAUCGGCCACACUGGAACUGAGACACGGUCCAGACUCCUACGGGAGGCAGCAGUAGGGAAUCUUCCGCAAUGGGCGAAAGCCUGACGGAGCAACGCCGCGUGAGUGAAGAAGGUCUUCGGAUCGUAAAACUCUGUUAUUAGGGAAGAACAAAUGUGUAAGUAACUAUGCACGUCUUGACGGUACCUAAUCAGAAAGCCACGGCUAACUACGUG
RNAcentral lists this ribosomal RNA (497 nucleotides) under uncultured bacterium. Its description in RNAcentral is "partial 16S ribosomal RNA". It matches the Rfam family "Bacterial small subunit ribosomal RNA", at positions 28 to 507 of the family's 1533-position model. The record is from RNAcentral.